This is a long non-coding RNA of Equus caballus (horse), 2317 nucleotides long. The record is from Ensembl. NCBI's taxonomy places the organism in Eukaryota, Metazoa, Chordata, Mammalia, Perissodactyla, Equidae.
CGACAGCAAUGGGAGGGAGAUUUGGUGUUAUACAUCCUUUUAUAACAUGGGAAUGUAUUUGCUACUCCAAAGAAUAAAUUUUAAAGCUUAAGUACCAGGACUGGCGGGUUAUUUGUGCCUGGGAAGACUGGCCCCUGAGUUUCCGGCUUGUUAAUCAGAAUCAGGGCUAUGCCUGGCUGAACCACAAAAGGCAGGCCCAGUGACCGGCCCUGGGGCACAGCCAGAGGCAACAGCCUGGCAUCUGGUGCCCGCCACUGCUGACAGGCCUGCCCAGAAGGCCAGUCUCCCGACUGAACAGCAGAGGACCCGGGUCCUUUGGGGAUGCGGAGCUCAUCAGAGCAGCCUUUCUGGGAUUGACAUUUUGAUGGAGAAAGUGGUUAUUCUUAGGAGAUGCACUCUGAGUAUUUUAGGAUGAAGCAUCUUGAUGCCUGAGCCUACUUUCCAACGGUCCAGGGAAGAAAAGCCUGCUGUCACAGAGGCUAGGGAGUCAAGCAAACCGUCGUAUUUCAAGCCUUCCACAUCAGCCAUAGCAGAGGACGAACCUCGACCUUUGACACUGAGGCAGCAGACACAGAAGGUGUAGACAGUGAGCUGUCUGCCCUCAUGGAAUCAGACGACGAUCAAAUGUUAAAAUAGAUGACCUCUUCCUCUCUCCUGCACCCCCGUCUCCUGGACCUCGCACUGCCUCAAACUCCGACGACUCAGCCUAAGCCCAUCAGCACCACCACCGCCUGUCGGCCUUCCCGUGUGUUCGCUGUCUUUCCGCUUCUGGCAAGUGAGACUACACUGUGCAUACACUAUUUCCACUUCAUACAGGCUUUGCAUUUGUCACAUCCUUCCUGCUUUUACCAUAAUAAGUUAGUGUUAUUUUGGGUGUUAUGCAUUAUUUCCUAUGAUUUGGUAGGCUAUCUUUUGGGUCUGGGAGUGCUCAAAAAUUUUUCCCAUAGAAAUUAAUGGUAAUCGCUCUUGGCAUUGCGUUUCAGCUUAUGAAAGGUUUCGUGGAAAUACCCUGCUUUUUGGUAGCGGGGGAGACCUGUGCUUGGGUACUGAAGGUGAGGCUCGGCUGAGCCUAGGAGGUCAAGAAUGUGUCUGCAUCAUAACCACAGACAACCACACAGAUAAAGGCUGGCAGUGGGCAGACAGACCACACAGGGUAAAUCAAGCAGGGCAUUCCCACCCAAAGGACAUCAGGGAACUCAGGAUAUGUGGCCAAGAUUGAGCUCCAUUCCCCUGGGCAGGUGGUGAUUCAAGGUUUGAGACCCACAUUCCCUGAAGGCUCAGAGCUGCUCCUCCUCCUCUUCCUCGUUCUUGGGGAUCCCUCUAGAGGCCAGAGCAUGCCACUGACAGAGGGGCUGUGCAGGAGCUGAGCUUUAGCUGAGCUAAAGAUCUCUUUAGGAUGAUUUCUCCCACAAAGGGCAUGGUUUGGAGGAGAUUUAGUAGUGGUCCUUGCCCACCACCAGAAGUUAUCAUUCUGUUCUUUGUGAGAAUGUGGAAUUCCCCCCAGUGUUGGCUAGAUGGGAGAGCAAGAAUGGGAGUGCUGUGUGCUUGGGGAAACCACAGGGCGUGAAGAUGCUAAUUAGUGUGAACUGGCCGACGACAUGCUGUGGGAGGUGAACAUGCUCCAUAUGGCCAUUGAUGGUGGGCAAUGGAAAUGUGGACACCUUGGGUCUAGAGGACCCUGUAUAGGGCUACAAAUUCAGGUCAUGAGCUAGGGGUCUAAAUAUGAAAUGAUGUGGUCGAGGAGCCACAAAAUAAGCCAAACACGCUCAGGAGGCAGGAACAGGUCCAUGGGGCCUGGAGCUGAAGGGUUCCCAUUUUGCGCUGUUGAUGGUAUUAGCUGUUUUUCUAAUGGCCAUCAGCUCCUUGGGUGGCCUUGUGGUCCUGGGUAGCUAACACACCUUUUUCCACUGGUGCUCAGCAGUCCUGAAGUCAUGGCCCUGUGAGUCGGUUUCCUGGCCCAGGUCCCAGGGCAGGGCCACUCCCCUUGGGCUGCACUGCAAGAGCGGAGGUAGGAAACGAAGAGGCUGCCUUCAAGAAGACAUCAAGUCAAAGUCAGAAUCAAAGCAGUCCUCGGUUAGAAGAAACUGGUCAGAAAGAGAGUCUUGUCACAACCAAGAGGAGAAAAGCUGAAAGAAACAGAUAAGACUCAGGUCAAGGGGCUGGCCCCGUGGCCAAGUGGCUAAGUUCGCGCACUCCGCUGCAGGCGGCCCAGUGUUUCAUUGGUUCGAAUCCUGGGCGCGGACAUGGCACUGCUCAUCAAACCACGCUGACGCAGUGUCCCACAUGCCACAACUAGAAGGACCCACAACGAAGAAUA